CGCCUCUAGUCUUGGCAGGUGCCGUCUCGCUCGCUCUCUCCCCUCGGGCUUCGGCCGGCCGUCCCUCCGCUAGGCCCCUCGACCGCCACUUAUCUUUUCCGCCUCUCAUCUAUGCGUUGUAGAAGGGGCUUAGGGGGUGGGGUGGGGUGGAGGAGAGGGGGCGGGGGCGCGGCGCCGCUGCCUUUCGGUGGAGGUAUGUUUAUGCCUCCUCUCUGCGAGGUGGGAGGAGGAGGAGGAGGAGGCGCAGGCGAGGUGGCGGGCGGGCGGGCGGCGCUGGCGUCACUCAGGGAGGGGUGGGGCGCGGAGUAGGCGGCUUAGCGCGGGGGCGAGGGCGGCGCCCCGGCGUUAACGGCGUUAGCGCGCCCGGCCCCAGCGUCCGCGUCAGCGCCGGCUCUGCCCGACAUCGUCACUGCCGCUCCCGGAACAACAACAACAACGACCAACUGCGUCCACGGCGGCCCGAGCUCCCGAUCCCGCGGUACCCCUGCAUGGAGUCGUGCGGGUUCUGCCUCUUCGUCUGGCGCCUGCCGCUCCCGUGGGCGCAGGCGAUGCCGGAGCGGAGGUACGUCCCUACCGCCUGGUGGUACCUCCUGCGGGUAUGACGACACGGUGUCGAACUACUUGCGUGUAGGAAAAAACGGCAAAAACUACCGGUACCUCCCUUUCGCCAACGAUUUAAGACGCGGUUUGUAGAUGUGUACGUUAAGAAUUCUUCACGCCGUAUAACAAGACCACUAAAUCGAAGAAGACGAGCCUUUCGGAAGAACUCUUACCUGCUCUACUACUUUCCCGUUUCCCCUACCUCUCUUGACCGACUCGACCCUCUUUUCCCCGGUUUCAAACGACCUCACGACCUCUCAUAUUAAACCAGAGGGUUUCGACCUCUACGUCUUUUUGAACCCCUGCCUACCGUGAGCCUCCUCCCAGGAGUAAGUCUAAAAAGACCCGGUUGUACACCUUCGUGUCGCACACACCGAUAGUAUUCUUUACUAGUUGACCAACAACGUUUACGGCCCCUAAGGGCCACACAAUAGAGUUCCUUCCCAGUCCGAGCGCUAAACAGUGCUCUAGUGUUCGGUCUUGAAGUCAGUCUUUUUCUCUCCUAACUCUUACGACCACCAAUGUAACAACGACCCGCCCAGUUACCUUCAAACUUGAACUGUUCUCGUUAACCCCUGUACCUCUACUUUCUUUUAUUCGAAAAUGGUCGGCUCUUUGUCUGACAGAGUCGACUUGGACUUCACUUGUGUCAAUGUGAAAGACUCCUACUACUCAAGUAACAAAACCGGACACUACCAUAUACCCUGACGUACAGUUCAGUUGUUCAUCACCUGAAACACGUGCUUUUCAACUUCUGACUCCUAUCAGAUAGACGACACACACUCUUUCACGAACUGGCCACGAACCGCGGACUCUCACCGCCCCUCCCAACACUGUUGUACUGCUACUAGAACCAACACGAGUUCUUCGGAUGGCUCAACCGGCGAUGAAGAUCGAGCCUCGUUAGAGGCCAGUACGGAUGGUUCAGCCGACGUCGAUGAAGAUCGAGCCUCGUUAGACGUCAGUGGUUGCUUCUCUACGCCGGGUCGCUCGGACUACGGGGUUUCUGGGGCUGCAGCAGCUUCAUCGCGAGGCUCCGUUUCGCUACCAGUCUUCCAGCACUGGGCCAGCUUUGUCGUCGCGAGGCUCAGGUUCGGUGUACCAAGUCUUUCCAGACUAGCCACUAUCUGUUUUAGCCUAUCGUCAUUCACUUCACCACAUAUAUUGUCUCCCUAAGAUAAGUUGUUAAGGGUAUCCCAAACAAGAACAUCGGAAAACAGGUUAUAUGUAUCGUCGUAGAACCAACCACCUAUUUAACGUCUCGAAGAAAAAAAAGGGUCGCUAAACCCAGAUAGAACUACUUAA
RNAcentral lists this ribosomal RNA (1905 nucleotides) under Triticum aestivum (bread wheat). RNAcentral's name for it is "partial small subunit ribosomal RNA". Lineage: Eukaryota; Viridiplantae; Streptophyta; Magnoliopsida; Poales; Poaceae. The record is from RNAcentral.